CAGACCCCUCACGCCCGGCGUGUGUGUUGGGCCAUCGUCCCCUUGAGUGUGUGGACGGGCCCGAAAGGCAGUGGCGGCACCGAGACCCUCGGCUGUCCUGAGUGUAUGGGCAACCCCUAGACCGCUCCGUGACCCGAUCGGUGGCCGACCGUCAGAUCGUGAGAUCGAAACAAAACAUUUCUUUCCG
This 187-nucleotide unclassified non-coding RNA is filed under the name Chrysosporium europae. RNAcentral's name for it is "partial internal transcribed spacer 2". The record is from RNAcentral. Lineage: Eukaryota; Fungi; Ascomycota; Eurotiomycetes; Onygenales; Onygenaceae.